Rhinopithecus roxellana (golden snub-nosed monkey) is the source of this 2193-nucleotide long non-coding RNA. RefSeq lists it as uncharacterized. The record is from RefSeq and is a predicted model, not a curated record. The transcript is spliced from 2 exons. Lineage: Eukaryota; Metazoa; Chordata; Mammalia; Primates; Cercopithecidae.
AAAAGUCAGGAAAUGAAUUGAGAAGGUUUAAAAGAGUUAUGUUACUUGAUCUACCUUAGGAUGAAAAUUGGGUAAGUAAACAAGCUAUCUCAAUUAUGUAAUUUUUUUUCUUUCAUUCAACAUGGAACAAGCUAAGAGAUUUGGGAGUCUGUUAUUUCUCUCAAAUUAAAUGUGAGCCAAGUAUUAGAAUUUUUUUUUUUUUUUUGUCUUCAGGCUUUUAUUUGAGCAAAUAUACCAGUCACUUCAGUAUGGGGAAGAGGAAACAGAUGGGAUGUGGAUAACAGGGGAAAAAUAACAGUGCUAAAAGUAUUUGAUAUGCAAAAAUCAAAUUGUUCCCAGAGUCGUCAGGUGCUAGAUGUAGCACUGAAAAACAACUUUACAUAAAUAUAUAUUUUCUUUAUAAGUAACCUGUCCAUUAGCAUCAUAAACAUGAGGAAACCUGGAUCCCUUUGAGACACUCUUGCUCAGAAUUUCUUACUACUGUUCCUUGUUUAGUGGAUUCAGUUUUAACUCACUGUGGCAUAUACAGUCAGCUGUGCAUGACACAGUCACAAUUUACCUUUCCCUCACUGUCGUCUCUUUAUGCCUAUUUCCCAAUGUGUGCCCACAUCAGUUUCCUUCCUGCCUUCGUCCAUAUUCUUUCUUCCAUAGUGCACCUUCCACCACAGUGAAGAUGACUCUGGAGUUUGCCUUGAAUUCAAAUCCUGCAUUUGCUUCAUGAUAGCUGCACAACCCUAGGCAAGUUAUUUAGCCUCUAGAAUCCUCAGUUUCCUCAUCUGUAAAAUGGGCUUAGUAAUAUUGCUUCCUAGGAGAGCCAGGAGAUUAAAAUGAGAUCAUGCCAUGUAUAAGGUUUAGCAGAGUUGCAUACCCGAAAGUUUCCAAUAAUGGGUAGUUAGGAUCAUUAUCAUUGUCACGAUCUCCCAGUUUUCGUGGCUAAACUUAAUCAUCACCUCUUCAGUGAUAUCUUUGAGCAGGCACUGCGGUAGUAUUUAAGAAGGUGGGCUCUGGAAGAGACUGCCUUAGUUUGAAGCAUAGUGCCACUCCUUUUUAACUGUGUUGUAACUUCUCGAAGGCUCCAUUUCCUCAUCUAUAAAAUAUGGGAUGUCAGUAGUGUCUACUCAUGGCUUUGGUAGGAGGAGUGAUCUAGGCCUAAACAGUGUCUGGCUCGUAGGAAACAUCAGUAGAUGAUGUGCUUUUUGCUGUUAUGAUAAGUAGUGUGUUCCACAUCACAGCAUACACUGGGUGGUGCAGGGGCUGAAAUUUAACCUGUUGCCUCUGUACCCAGAAAGAGGAAGCACAUUCCUUAUGACAUAGUUGUGAGGUGACCUUUCACAUGAUACUUUUCAUAUACAAAAUAAAGCAUAGGUGUUUCCGUAAACCUGGACAGGCUUCAAGAUUCAUCUGGCAUUUAAGCUUAGAAUUUCUGUCUCUAAGUAUAAGUGAUCGUCCCUAUUGGUUUGCCUGGGACAGACUUGGAUACAUCUGGUACUCCACAACUAUUAUUAACUGAAAAUCCCUUUUACUCUCAAAGUUGUCUCCAUUUAAAGAAUAAAGUUUGUGGUUACCUGAAUAAGAUUAAGGAUGACUCUUUGAUAGCAGCUGUCGUUAACAGGAAGCCUGUUUUGUAGGAAAGACAAUGAGCGUUUUGGCUGGGCGCGGUGGCUCACACCUGUAAUCCUAGCACUUUGGGAGGCUGAGGCGGGCAUAUUGCCUGAGUUCAGGAGUUUGAGACCAGCCUGGGCAACACGAUGAAACCCUGUCUCUACUAAAAUACAAAAAAUUAGCUGUGCGUGGCAGCUUGCGCCUGUAGUCCCAGCUACCCAGGAGGCUGAGGCAGGAGAAUUGCUGGAACCCAGGAGGCAGAGCUUGCAGUGAGCCGAGAUUGCGCCACUGCACUCCACCCUGGGUGACAAAGCAAGACUCCAUCUCCAAAAAAAAAAAAAAAAAAAAAGAAGGAAAAGAAAAUGAGAGGUUUUUUUUUGUUUUUUUGUUUUUUGUUUUUUGAGAUAGAGUCUCACUCUGUUACCCAGGCUGGAAUGCAGGGGCACUAUCUUGGCUCACUGCAACCUCUGCCUCCCAGCUACUAGGGAAGCUGAGGCAGGAGAAUGGCGUAAACCUGGGAGGCAGAGCUUGCAGUGAGCUGAGAUCCGGCCACUGCACUCCAGCCUGGGCGACAGAGCGAGACUCUGUCUC